Molecule: long non-coding RNA, 680 nt
Organism: Sinocyclocheilus anshuiensis
Lineage: Eukaryota; Metazoa; Chordata; Actinopteri; Cypriniformes; Cyprinidae
Exons: 6
Source: RefSeq, a predicted model, not a curated record
AAGACAUGCAUUUUGGCAGCCACGUUCCCCUGGCCAGCCCAGUUUUGUUUCAUUUGGUCAUGUUCUCUGGCCUGCAGUUUACAGGGAGCACUUUAUGUGUGACUAGUGUAUGUUUUGUUCAUGCUUCAGUUUGUGUUCUAGUGUUGAUUUAUUUAUUGAGUGUUCCAAGCAUGAUAAAACAAAACAGAGGACUUCAUUCACCAUCCUUUUUUUAAAUAGGAAACUUGCACAGAAUCUUGUCCCUGGAAAGUGGUCAGAAAAAACUGGAAGUGAUUUAAAGGGAGUUCCUGUGCAAGAUUAUGGGAAUGACUGUGGUAUCUUCAUGAUCAUGUAAAUCUGGUAUAUGGCAAUGGAGGCUUAUUUUGAUUUCACUGUGGAGGACAUGCCAGAUCUUAGAAGGUGGUGGUGUAUAAUUCUGAUGGAGAACUUUCAUCUAGAAGGUCACGGGUGAAGAUUUGCACAUUGGACUGAAGACGGGAGACAAACUCUUAAGGGAACUUUCACACCAGUCUUCCGCAUACCAAGGAAGAGAAAAUGUCCAGACCCCACAAAGCAUGACAAGCCAACCAAGAGAAUCCAGACCUAAAAAACAUGAUGAAAUGGGCAUAACACAGAAAUGGGUACAUCUACUCUCUGUACAGAUAAAUGAAUAGUUCCCCGUCAUGUCAUCAUUGUGUAUG